AACGUAGGAGGCAAGCGUUAUCCGGAUUCACUGGGCGUAAAGCGUGCGUAGGCGGUCGGGUAAGUCGGAUGUUAAAGCCCCUGGCUCAACUGGGGGAGGUCAUUCGAUACUGCUCGGCUUGAGGAUGAGAGAGGAGAGCGGAAUUCCCGGUGUAGCGGUGGAAUGCGUAGAGAUCGGGAGGAACACCAGCGGCGAAAGCGGCUCUCUGGCUCAUAUCUGACGCUGAGUGCACGACAGCGUGGGGA
RNAcentral lists this ribosomal RNA (245 nucleotides) under uncultured bacterium. Its description in RNAcentral is "partial 16S ribosomal RNA". It matches the Rfam family "Bacterial small subunit ribosomal RNA", at positions 524 to 767 of the family's 1533-position model. The record is from RNAcentral.